Molecule: long non-coding RNA, 136 nt
Organism: Amblyraja radiata (thorny skate)
Lineage: Eukaryota; Metazoa; Chordata; Chondrichthyes; Rajiformes; Rajidae
Exons: 4
Source: RefSeq, a predicted model, not a curated record
UCGAGGGUGUUUGGUCCUCUGGUGCAGCAGGAGACAUGUUGGUGGAAGUUAGGGAGCGAUUUCUUCAGGUUGGCUUUGUUGAAAUUCCCGACAAUGGUGGUAAAUGCCUCUGGGUAAGAUGUCUUGUAGUUGUUGA